GCCUGGGUGGCGAAAUUGGUAGACGCACAGGACUUAAAAUCCUGGGCCUCGAAAGGGGCGUGCCGGUUCGAUUCCGGCCCUAGGCACCA
RNAcentral lists this transfer RNA (89 nucleotides) under bacterium. RNAcentral's name for it is "tRNA-Leu". It matches the Rfam family "tRNA". Rfam says of the family: Transfer RNA (tRNA) molecules are approximately 80 nucleotides in length. Their secondary structure includes four short double-helical elements and three loops (D, anti-codon, and T loops). The record is from RNAcentral.